Raphanus sativus (radish) is the source of this 2075-nucleotide long non-coding RNA. RefSeq lists it as uncharacterized. The transcript has 5 exons. NCBI's taxonomy places the organism in Eukaryota, Viridiplantae, Streptophyta, Magnoliopsida, Brassicales, Brassicaceae. The record is from RefSeq and is a predicted model, not a curated record.
AUAAUAUAAUGGCGGAGUAUCACUCCUGCCUAUGGGACACGUGGCAUCUCUGUUGGGCCAAACUCUUUAUUUUUAUUUUUUUACGAAUGGGCUGAGAUCUGUAAACCAGGGAUUCAUUAUUAUCGAUCUUUGUCUCUUCCACCUCUCCGUUUCCACUAAUCUUUGACUCGAGAUUCAAUGAACUCUUCUCCAACUCUUAGCCUUCCCCAUCGUUCAAAGAAUUUCUCUUAAUUCUUCGUUAAAGACAGAGCCCUACCCCUUUUUUUUCUUCGUGAAGAAGCUUUUGAAACCUCAGAAAAAGGAAUCAGAUUUGUAAUAAAUCUACGAGAUUUUUCUUCAGGUAAACUGCAUAACCUCUAACCCUAAAGCGAGCUUCUUUCACGUCUUUCCUUUCCAUCGUCCCAUCGUCCCAGCUCCAUAUCUAUCACCCUCGCUCACUCUCUGUUCAUCUCAAAGAUCAAUUUCCUCUACAUCUACCUCUCAUUGGGCCGUUCAAAUUCUGCAAUUGUGUUCUGGUGAUUGAUGAAAUUUUCGCUUGCGGCGGCGACGGGAGAAAAACGGAGGAAUCUUCUCAGACGGAAACGCUCCUGAUACUGCAGAGCGUAUUGGCCGUGAAGCUAAACGCCGAGGCUUUCCUGCGUCUAUCGUAUCCACAGAAGAAUUCGACCCGAUAUUUAAUAAGAAGGAAACCGUGGCAAUUCCUCUGUUUGAUCAGCUUUUAGAUUUGAGUGGUUCUGUUGAUUGAAUUUCGAGUGAACAUAUAAAAGUGUUCUGUUUCUCCAGAGUUCCUUACCUCAUGAGGAGGCUAUGUUGUUAUAUCCACUUCAGGGCAAGGAGACUCUCCAGAUUCUUUCAAGGAGUUUUGUAAGUUUCUUCUUCAAAGAAACUUGGGAAACUCUUGGUUGCAACGAGUUUGCUUUGCACUGUUUGGGCUAGGUGAUUCAGGUUACCAGAAGUACAAUUAGUGUAUCUGACUUGAUCCAAGAAACUCUAGAGCCGGGUCAUCAGAGUUAUCACUGCCUCUUACGCUUCAUCUCAGAUUCAAAGGCAAUCCCACGUGACAAUACUCGGCAAACCUAUGAUCCAGGUUCCUCCUUGGCUUUUUCUUUCCAUCACCUCCUUCUCUACUAUAUGCAUAUAAAUCUUAGUAUGCGCUUUCAUUCUUUGUGUUCCAUCUACGAUGGCUGUAACUCAACAUUUCAAAAUACUCAACUUUAAAUUAUUUUUCUUCAACCGAGAACUUGGGAGAGGUUGGUGUAAGCUUUUACUCUCAAUGAUGUGGCUAAUGUUGCACAGCUCUCUUCUCUUUUUGGUUCUGUACACAAGAAAGUAUUGAACUUUAUGGAUUCAUUGAAUUAAGUUUAACACCAAAAUGUUUGUUGUUCCUUCCUGAUCUUAUGAGUUGUGAACCAACCUUUCUUUCUGUUGAUGUAAAGGUUUAUAGUUCACGGAGUCAAAAACUGCUUUCAAGUUUAUUGAGAAAGUUGUGAUAAUUAUGGAUCUUAGAAUUGUUUCGCAGGUAAGUAGUUAGAGGUAGCAUGUCUAAUAGUGUUGGUCUUAGAAAUUCCUUUGAUUCCAUUGGUGAAGCAGGUUUGAUUGAUGAUUUAUAUGGGAAUGUACAACAACAUAACUCAUUUCAUGCAGCAAAAAACUUGGAUCAAAGAUCAAAGAUCAAAGACAGACUGCUCAGCUGAAUCAUACUUCAAUCAAGCCGUUGCAGCAUCUCCUGAUUACUGCUCAAGAUCAUCAUUCAUGUACUUUUUGGCGUCGACGCAUAUCUUGCAAGCUUCACAUGUGCAGUUCUUUCGGGAUGUUGAAGAGGAAGCAGAUGGGGAGCAGGUGAAGGAAGAGAGACAGAAAGAAGUAAUUGUGCCUCAACCUUCUCGAAUGAAUGUCUUUACCGGACGUUUCCUAAUACGGCCAUGUCUUAGAUUGUGGUCUUGGCAUCUCCAACCAGUUAUUUUGUUUAUUUUAUAGAUUUAGAUAUAAGUGCAACGUCUAUGAUCGAGCUAACUCUUUUGUCUAAUGUGAAUUCUUUAAUGCUGCCUCUCUUUAUUGAUGUUUUUCCUUUUCAA